RNAcentral lists this ribosomal RNA (1023 nucleotides) under uncultured Ralstonia sp. RNAcentral describes it as "bacterial SSU rRNA". It matches the Rfam family "Bacterial small subunit ribosomal RNA", at positions 72 to 1083 of the family's 1533-position model. Lineage: Bacteria; Pseudomonadati; Pseudomonadota; Betaproteobacteria; Burkholderiales; Burkholderiaceae. The record is from RNAcentral.
GAUCUAGCUUGCUAGAUUGAUGGCGAGUGGCGAACGGGUGAGUAAUACAUCGGAACGUGCCCUGUAGUGGGGGAUAACUAGUCGAAAGAUUAGCUAAUACCGCAUACGACCUGAGGGUGAAAGUGGGGGACCGCAAGGCCUCAUGCUAUAGGAGCGGCCGAUGUCUGAUUAGCUAGUUGGUGGGGUAAAGGCCCACCAAGGCGACGAUCAGUAGCUGGUCUGAGAGGACGAUCAGCCACACUGGGACUGAGACACGGCCCAGACUCCUACGGGAGGCAGCAGUGGGGAAUUUUGGACAAUGGGGGCAACCCUGAUCCAGCAAUGCCGCGUGUGUGAAGAAGGCCUUCGGGUUGUAAAGCACUUUUGUCCGGAAAGAAAUCGCACUUACUAAUACUAGGUGUGGAUGACGGUACCGGAAGAAUAAGGACCGGCUAACUACGUGCCAGCAGCCGCGGUAAUACGUAGGGUCCAAGCGUUAAUCGGAAUUACUGGGCGUAAAGCGUGCGCAGGCGGUUGUGCAAGACCGAUGUGAAAUCCCCGGGCUUAACCUGGGAAUUGCAUUGGUGACUGCACGGCUAGAGUGUGUCAGAGGGGGGUAGAAUUCCACGUGUAGCAGUGAAAUGCGUAGAGAUGUGGAGGAAUACCGAUGGCGAAGGCAGCCCCCUGGGAUAACACUGACGCUCAUGCACGAAAGCGUGGGGAGCAAACAGGAUUAGAUACCCUGGUAGUCCACGCCCUAAACGAUGUCAACUAGUUGUUGGGGAUUCAUUUCCUUAGUAACGUAGCUAACGCGUGAAGUUGACCGCCUGGGGAGUACGGUCGCAAGAUUAAAACUCAAAGGAAUUGACGGGGACCCGCACAAGCGGUGGAUGAUGUGGAUUAAUUCGAUGCAACGCGAAAAACCUUACCUACCCUUGACAUGCCACUAACGAAGCAGAGAUGCAUUAGGUGCUCGAAAGAGAAAGUGGACACAGGUGCUGCAUGGCUUGUCGUCAGCUCGUGGCCGUGAGAUGUUGGGGUUAA